RNAcentral lists this microRNA precursor (83 nucleotides) under Lotus japonicus. Its description in RNAcentral is "miR11088a stem-loop (lja-MIR11088a)". The record is from miRBase by way of RNAcentral. Lineage: Eukaryota; Viridiplantae; Streptophyta; Magnoliopsida; Fabales; Fabaceae.
CCCGCCGAAAUGCGGGUUGGGUUGGGCUAGCCCACAUUUGGUAUUUUGGUUCAAAGUCUCAACCCAACCCAUAUUUUGGCGGG